Molecule: ribosomal RNA, 885 nt
Filed under: uncultured bacterium
Lineage: Bacteria
Description: bacterial SSU rRNA
Rfam family: Bacterial small subunit ribosomal RNA
Source: RNAcentral
UAGAGUUUGAUCAUGGCUCAGGAUGAACGCUAGCGACAGGCUUAACACAUGCAAGUCGAGGGGCAGCGGUGGUGAAGGCUUGCCUUUACCAGCCGGCGACCGGCGCACGGGUGAGUAACACGUAUGCAACCUGCCUGCCACAGCCGGAUAAUCGGGAGAAAUUCCGUCUAAUACGGCAUAAUGCACCUAUGGGACAUCCUGUUGGUGCCAAAGGUUAAUUCCGGUGGCGGAUGGGCAUGCGUCGCAUUAGUUAGUUGGCGGUGUAACGGACCACCAAGACGACGAUGCGUAGGGGUUCUGAGAGGAAGGUCCCCCACACUGGUACUGAGACACGGACCAGACUCCUACGGGAGGCAGCAGUGAGGAAUAUUGGUCAAUGGGCGGGAGCCUGAACCAGCCAAGUCGCGUGAGGGAUGACGGCCCUAUGGGUUGCAAACCUCUUUUGCCGGGGAGCAAAGUGCCGCACGUGUGCGGUUUGGAGAGUACCCGGAGAAAAAGCAUCGGCUAACUCCGUGCCAGCAGCCGCGGUAAUACGGAGGAUGCGAGCGUUAUCCGGAUUUAUUGGGUUUAAAGGGUGCGUAGGCGGACGCUUAAGUCAGCGGUAAAAUUGCGGGGCUCAACCUCGUCGAGCCGUUGAAACUGGGUGCCUUGAGUGGGCGAGAAGUACGCGGAAUGCGUGGUGUAGCGGUGAAAUGCAUAGAUAUCACGCAGAACUCCGAUUGCGAAGGCAGCGUACCGGCGCCCAACUGACGCUGAAGCACGAAGGCGUGGGUAUCGAACAGGAUUAGAUACCCUGGUAGUCCACGCAGUAAACGAUGAAUGCUAGUUGUCCGGGGCGAUUGAGUUCUGGGUGACACAGCGAAAGCGUUAAGCAUUCCACCUGGG